GCGCAAUCCGCUAAACGGUCAGGCCGUGGCGCGGAAGGUUUUGUAACCCGCACUUCCUCGAGAAACUCGAAGAAAGGUGAGCG
Molecule: regulatory RNA element, 83 nt
Organism: Candidatus Burkholderia verschuerenii
Lineage: Bacteria; Pseudomonadati; Pseudomonadota; Betaproteobacteria; Burkholderiales; Burkholderiaceae
Rfam family: SucA RNA motif
Source: Rfam